CCAUCUACGUGGCUCUAUUAGGUAUUAACAACGGCUCUUUCUUAUUCAUUUGUUCAUAAGGAGGUAGUUGAUUCUACCCCAAUUCAUGAGUCCAUUCUUAAAUAUUUUGAUUGUUUCUAAUGGAGGACCCAGGAAUCUUUGCUCUGUGCCCUAAGAUGCAGCAAUGCAUGCCCUUUAUGAUAUCAUUUGCUGCCUUUUGAGUCCACUAUCCACGAUCAU
Molecule: long non-coding RNA, 219 nt
Filed under: Elaeis guineensis (African oil palm)
Lineage: Eukaryota; Viridiplantae; Streptophyta; Magnoliopsida; Arecales; Arecaceae
Description: long non-coding RNA (EGUI_LNC011373)
Source: RNAcentral